Long non-coding RNA from Gadus macrocephalus (Pacific cod), 1332 nucleotides. RefSeq lists it as uncharacterized. Lineage: Eukaryota; Metazoa; Chordata; Actinopteri; Gadiformes; Gadidae. The record is from RefSeq and is a predicted model, not a curated record. The transcript has 7 exons.
UUUAAUAUCAAUACUGCUUAGUGUUCUUUGUUACUUCAGCUUUUGUAUUUUCUAAAUAUCUGCUGUCAUUAAUUGCCACAGAAGUUAAACCCUACCCAAUGGAAUGACAUUAAACAACGACUUUGGUGCAGAGUUACCAACUGGAUAAUAUCAAAGCUAAAAUAAUGGCCGUCCUUCCCACAUGUUACAGUAGAAGAUACUCUAGAACUGUACAAGGUUAAAAAGGUAACAUGUAGUUUGUCCAAAGGUAUCUGCCUCCUCACCCAGAGCAAGACCUCCUCACCCAGAGCCAGACCUUCACCUCCUGUCAGAAGUCCUCCAGAACAGGCGAGGCUGAGAGGCUGGGGACCGGACGCUUGUGGUUCCAGGAUGGACCGGAGACUGAGGCUGGAGACCAGGGGCCUGCAGCAACGGACCAGAGGGUAACCAUCACCAAGCUCAUCUGAAACACUAAAAUCCACGACCAGGAAUCCAUGGCUGAAGGAGCUGAUGGAGGAGCCAUGCUGAAGGAACUGAAGGAGCUGAUGGAGGAGCCGUGCUGAUGGAGGAGUCGUGCUGAAGGCCCUGGCUGGUGGAGGAGCUGGUGGGGGCCCUGCCUGGUGAUGGACGUCUGUCGUGGGACCAGGACUGUGUCUGAGGAGAGCUGCUGGAGGAGCUGAGACGCUGGAGGAUGACUAGGAUUCGACCAACAAGGAUUCCUCAACGUGUUUCUGGAGCGGAGGCGAGCUGGUAGGGGAGCCGUGAAUCUGGAGGAUGACCAUCACUCUACCAACAAGGAUUACCAGGACUGGCUGAGGAGAGCUGAUGGAAGAGCCAAGACUCUGGAGGACGACAUCACUCUACCAACCAGGAUCCUCGCAAUCACACCUGAGCUGACCCUCACCUGAGCCUGUUGGGUCGGGGGUAGACGCACCUGAGCUACACCCGCCCUGAUCCUGACAUCCUGCUGGCCCGGUCUCUUCUUGACCACACAUGUAACCGUGUGCUUCCACAUGCCUUUCCCUCACGUCUGUCACUAACCUCACUACUUCACUACUCUCUUCUGCUUCCUCUUUUCUUCCUUAUCUGUGGUUCAAACCUUUACACUGAAGGCGCGUCUUCCUGCCCUCAGAGGGUUCAGCGUUAGGGUUGAGAGUCAGGGUUUAGAGUCAGGGACAGAGCUGGUCAGGGAGGACUGCUUUUACACAAACCUCUUCACUUGCUUUCGGAAUGGUUGUGACAUUUUGAAAAGAUUCAUUUGGGAAAAUGUUUUCUUCUGCUUUCCUUUACAAAAUUGUAUUAAACUUCUGUCAAGUGUUAUUGUUUAUAUAUUAAAAUCCCAAAUUGACUUUA